UAUGGUGACUAUAGCGGUGGGGUACACCUCUUCCCAUUCCGAACAGAGAAGUUAAGCCCACCAGCGCCAAUGGUACUGCCGUAACAGGUGGGAGAGUAGGUCGUUGCCAACU
Molecule: ribosomal RNA, 112 nt
Filed under: Marivirga aurantiaca
Lineage: Bacteria; Pseudomonadati; Bacteroidota; Cytophagia; Cytophagales; Marivirgaceae
Source: RNAcentral